CACGCAGGCGGUUUGUUAAGUCAGAUGUGAAAUCCCCGCGCUUAACGUGGGAACUGCAUUUGAAACUGGCAAGCUAGAGUCUUGUAGAGGGGGGUAGAAUUCCAGGUGUAGCGGUGAAAUGCGUAGAGAUCUGGAGGAAUACCGGUGGCGAAGGCGGCCCCCUGGACAAAGACUGACGCUCAGGUGCGAAAGCGUGGGGAGCAAACAGGAUUAGAUACCCUGGUAGUCCACGCUGUAAACGAUGUCGACUUGGAGGUUGUGCCCUUGAGGCGUGGCUUCCGGAGCUAACGCGUUAAGUCGACCGCCUGGGGAGUACGGCCGCAAGGUUAAA
This 331-nucleotide ribosomal RNA is filed under the name uncultured bacterium. RNAcentral describes it as "bacterial SSU rRNA". It matches the Rfam family "Bacterial small subunit ribosomal RNA", at positions 568 to 898 of the family's 1533-position model. The record is from RNAcentral.